Molecule: non-coding RNA, 630 nt
Organism: Chlorocebus sabaeus (green monkey)
Lineage: Eukaryota; Metazoa; Chordata; Mammalia; Primates; Cercopithecidae
Source: RefSeq, a predicted model, not a curated record
UGCAGCUGUAUGCCCAGGAAAAACGAAGAGAAGAAAAUGAAACCCAGGAGGGGCACAGUAGCUCUCACAAGGGAUGGGAGCAAGAAGGAAGGGUUAAAAGAGAACGGUGCAGUGGACUGGGAUAGAUACAACACCACGUGUCAACCCUGGCCUUUCAUUGUGAUGGCAGGAGAGGAAACGGCAUGGGGGUCGCAGUCAUCUGUGGAUAAUGUGUCAGUUAUUGUUCUUGGCAGGCAGUGAGGGCAUCAUGCCACGCCUGAGAGUGUCUGCUUGCCAGCAAGCCCUGGAGAGCUGAUCUUAGGCUCGCUUCAGUUCCUGGGUGGGAUUACGUCACUGUUUUUCAGCAGCGAACUUUCUCAGAUGGAACACACCCAACCUCACAGGCACCCAGGAGUUCUUGCAUAGCAUGGCCCAGGCUCUACUCAAGAAAUGCAGCCCAAUCCCGCAGGCUCACAACUCAGACUUUCGAAGAAUAUGCCCCAACAAAUCUGGGUAAAGGGUCUGAAAAUUGUUUAUACUCUUUUGGUUAAUUUUUCUAUAACUGUGAAAUUAUAUCAAAAUUAAAAACAUAAUAAAAUGCCCAAUAAACAUAGCGCAAUUAAGAGUGACUAUUCGGGCCGGGCGCGGUGA